GGGGAUGUAGCUCGAUGGCAGAGCAAUCGGCUUUUAACCGAUUGGGUGUGGGUUCGAGUCCCACCAUCCCCACUA
RNAcentral lists this transfer RNA (75 nucleotides) under Allocoleopsis franciscana PCC 7113. Its description in RNAcentral is "Microcoleus sp. PCC 7113 tRNA-Lys". It matches the Rfam family "tRNA". From Rfam's summary of the family: Transfer RNA (tRNA) molecules are approximately 80 nucleotides in length. Their secondary structure includes four short double-helical elements and three loops (D, anti-codon, and T loops). The record is from RNAcentral. Lineage: Bacteria; Bacillati; Cyanobacteriota; Cyanophyceae; Coleofasciculales; Coleofasciculaceae.